Molecule: long non-coding RNA, 119 nt
Organism: Cyprinus carpio (common carp)
Lineage: Eukaryota; Metazoa; Chordata; Actinopteri; Cypriniformes; Cyprinidae
Exons: 3
Source: RefSeq, a predicted model, not a curated record
GAUCUGUUUUAUCAUCACCAUCAGCAUCUGCAUUCACAGGAAACUGAGACAGAAGAUCAGCUCUGGUUCAGAGGAUGUGAAGAUGAUCUCUGACUGUGACAAACACACAGUAACAGCCU